This 221-nucleotide long non-coding RNA is filed under the name Elaeis guineensis (African oil palm). RNAcentral describes it as "long non-coding RNA (EGUI_LNC041362)". Lineage: Eukaryota; Viridiplantae; Streptophyta; Magnoliopsida; Arecales; Arecaceae. The record is from RNAcentral.
UGUGGAAGGUCGAACGUUGGAGGAGUCCGGGAUUCAAUUCUGUUGUAAAAGUUUGGACGGAGUCUGGCUCUUGUAGGAGUCUGAAAGGAGGCUGCUUACUGUGGAAGCUUGGACGAAGACCGGUUGCUGUGGAAGCUCGGAUGGAGACUUCUUAUUGUAGAAGCUCAGAUGAAGUCCACUUGCUAUAAAAGUUCAGAGUAGAGAUCCAGCUGGUGGAGCCC